RNAcentral lists this unclassified non-coding RNA (714 nucleotides) under Hevea brasiliensis (rubber tree). The record is from RNAcentral. Lineage: Eukaryota; Viridiplantae; Streptophyta; Magnoliopsida; Malpighiales; Euphorbiaceae.
AAAAAUUCCCUUCGAUCUUAUUCUUAAAUGAAAAUUAUCAGUUCAAAAAACAAAAAAAACUUUGGACUUAUUUUCGAGUUUACUAUUCUUUACUGGAUCUCAUAUGAUAAAAAGAAAUUUUAUUUGAUGAGAUGUAGAAACUCAUUGCAUAAUCUCUGAGGAGGUGUUCCUCCCAUUCUGGAAACCAAAAGCAUGUUGAUCAUAGCCAAGGAGAAUUGUAAAUGGGAGUAACAACAGAUUUAACUUGGAGGUACUUGUGGAGGGCUUCCAAUCCAAAAUCUCUUCCAAAGCCACUCAUCUUAUAUCCUCCACCAGGGCAGUCCUCAUCAAAGGCAAAAUAACAGUUUAUCCAAAUGAUGCCAGCGCGGAUUGAUCUCGAGACAGUGUUAGCUACAUUCAAGUCCUUGGUCACAAUGCCUGCUGCUAAACCAUAUCUUGUAUUGUUAGCGCUCUUAAUUGCCUCUUCUACAGUCUUGAACUUCAUUAGCGACAUCACAGGUCCGAAAAUUUCAUCCUUCGCUAUUAACAUGUCCUCCUGAACAAGUUGUUCAGAAAAUUAAACUUAAUACAGAUUAACUAUUACCAAUUAUUUGUCUUGAAAGUUGAAACUGUACCUUAACGUCAGUGAAAAUUGUCGGCUCGAUAAAAUAUCCCUUCUUGAAUAAAGGUUUACCCCCUGUUAAUAAUGUUGCUCCUUCUCUUUUGCCAUGCUCA